RNAcentral lists this transfer RNA (72 nucleotides) under Camelus bactrianus (Bactrian camel). It matches the Rfam family "tRNA". From Rfam's summary of the family: Transfer RNA (tRNA) molecules are approximately 80 nucleotides in length. Their secondary structure includes four short double-helical elements and three loops (D, anti-codon, and T loops). Further hydrogen bonds mediate the characteristic L-shaped molecular structure. tRNAs have two regions of fundamental functional importance: the anti-codon, which is responsible for specific mRNA codon recognition, and the 3' end, to which the tRNAs corresponding amino acid is attached (by aminoacyl-tRNA synthetases). tRNAs cope with the degeneracy of the genetic code in two manners: having more than one tRNA (with a specific anti-codon) for a particular amino acid; and 'wobble' base-pairing, i.e. permitting non-standard base-pairing at the 3rd anti-codon position. The record is from Rfam by way of RNAcentral. RNAcentral also lists the same sequence under 1 other name. Lineage: Eukaryota; Metazoa; Chordata; Mammalia; Artiodactyla; Camelidae.
GAGAGUAUAGCUCAGUGGUAGAACGCAUGCUUAACAUGCAUGAGGUCCUGGGUUCAAUCCCCAAUCCCUCCA